CCUUUGUACACACCGCCCGUCGCUACUACCGAUUGAAUGGCUCAGUGAGGCGUUCGGACUGGCUCGGGGAGGUUGGCAACGACCACCCCAAGCCGGAAAGUUCGUCAAACUCGGUCAUUUAGAGGAAGUAAAAGUCGUAACAAGGUCUCCGUAGGUGAACCUGCGGAGGGAUCAUUACACAAAAAAUAUGCAGGCCAACACUGCGGCUGUGCCCUCGGGCCAGUCUGCUGAGGCUGAAGUAUUUUUCACCCAUGUCUUUUGCGCACUUGUUGUUUCCUGGGCGGGUUCGCUCGCCAUCAGGACCACACCAUAAACCUUUUUUAUGCAGUUGCAAUCAGCGUCAGUAUCACAAAUGUAUAAUCAUUUACAACUUUCAACAACGGAUCUCUUGGUUCUGGCAUCGAUGAAGAACGCAGCGAAAUGCGAUACGUAGUGUGAAUUGCAGAAUUCAGUGAAUCAUCGAAUCUUUGAACGCACAUUGCGCCCUUUGGUAUUCCAAAGGGCAUGCCUGUUCGAGCGUCAUUUGUACCCUCAAGCUUUGCUUGGUGUUGGGCGUUUUUGUCUUGUGCAGCAAGACUCGCCUUAAAACGAUUGGCAGCCGGCCUACUGGUUUCGGAGCGCAGCACAUUUUUGCGCUUGCAACCAGCACAAGAGGCCGGCACUCCAUCAAGUCCUCUUUCUCACAUUUUGACCUCGGAUCAGGUAGGGAUACCCGCUGAACUUAAGCAUAUCAUA
RNAcentral lists this small RNA (735 nucleotides) under Curvularia micropus. RNAcentral's name for it is "eukaryotic LSU rRNA". The stretch from base 1 to 177 matches the Rfam family "Eukaryotic small subunit ribosomal RNA", at positions 1657 to 1831 of the family's 1831-position model. Lineage: Eukaryota; Fungi; Ascomycota; Dothideomycetes; Pleosporales; Pleosporaceae. The record is from RNAcentral.